UGGGGAAUCUUGCACAAUGGGGGCAACCCUGAUGCAGCGACGCCGCGUGAGCGAUGAAGCCCUUCGGGGCGUAAAGCUCUUUCGACCGGAACGAUAAUGACGGUACCGGGAGAAGAAGCUGCGGCUAACUACGUGCCAGCAGCCGCGGCAAUACGUAGGCAGCAAGCGUUGUUCGGAGUUACUGGGCGUAAAGAGUGCGUAGGCGGUUUUCUAAGUUCGGUGUGAAAUCUCCCGGCUUAACUGGGAGGGUGCGCCGAAGACUGGGAAGCUGGAGUGUGGGAAAGGCAGGCGGAAUUCCUGGUGUAGCGGUGAAAUGCGUAGAUAUCAGGAGGAACACCGGCGGUGUAGACGGCUUGCUAGACCAUAACUGACGCUGAGGCACGAAAGCGUGGGUAGCAAACA
Molecule: ribosomal RNA, 402 nt
Filed under: uncultured bacterium
Lineage: Bacteria
Description: bacterial SSU rRNA
Rfam family: Bacterial small subunit ribosomal RNA
Source: RNAcentral